AGUCGAACGGGACUCUCUGGAUGGAGACUUCGGUCAACUGAAUUUGAGUCUAGUGGCGGACGGGUGAGUAACGCGUGAGGAACCUGCCCUUCAGAGAGGAAUAACGUCCGGAAACGGACGCUAAUACCGCAUAACAUAUCGGUAUCGCAUGGUACUGAUAUCAAAGGAGCAAUCCGCUGAGGGAUGGCCUCGCGUCCGAUUAGAUAGUUGGCGGGGUAACGGCCCACCAAGUCGACGAUCGGUAGCCGGACUGAGAGGUUGAACGGCCACAUUGGGACUGAGACACGGCCCAGACUCCUACGGGAGGCAGCAGUGGAGAAUAUUGCACAAUGGGCGCAAGCCUGAUGCAGCAACGCCGCGUGAGGGAAGACGGUUUUCGGAUUGUAAACCUCUGUCCUAUGUGAAGAUAAUGACGGUAGCAUAGGAGGAAGCCACGGCUAACUACGUGCCAGCAGCCGCGGUAAUACGUAGGUGGCAAGCGUUGUCCGGAAUUACUGGGUGUAAAGGGAGCGUANGCGGGUGAACAAGUCAGCGGUGAAAAAUAUGGGCUUAACCCAUAUCCUGCCGUUGAAACUGUACAUCUU
RNAcentral lists this ribosomal RNA (584 nucleotides) under uncultured rumen bacterium. Its description in RNAcentral is "bacterial SSU rRNA". It matches the Rfam family "Bacterial small subunit ribosomal RNA", at positions 60 to 643 of the family's 1533-position model. The record is from RNAcentral.